GGAGGGGUGUCCGAGUGGUUGAUGGUGGCGGUCUUGAAAAUCGCUGUGGCCUUACGGGUCACCGGGGGUUCGAAUCCCUCCCCCUCCGCCA
This 91-nucleotide transfer RNA is filed under the name Candidatus Psychracetigena formicireducens. RNAcentral describes it as "tRNA-Ser". It matches the Rfam family "tRNA". Rfam says of the family: Transfer RNA (tRNA) molecules are approximately 80 nucleotides in length. Lineage: Bacteria; Bacillati; Candidatus Lithacetigenota. The record is from RNAcentral.